UACGUAGGGUGCGAGCGUUAAUCGGAAUUACUGGGCGUAAAGCGUGCGCAGGCGGUUUCGUAAGACAGAGGUGAAAUCCCCGGGCUCAACCUGGGAACUGCCUUUGUGACUGCGAGGCUAGAGUACGGCAGAGGGGGGUGGAAUUCCACGUGUAGCAGUGAAAUGCGUAGAGAUGUGGAGGAACACCGAUGGCGAAGGCAGCCCCCUGGGCCGAUACUGACGCUCAUGCACGAAAGCGUGGGUAGCAAACAGG
This 253-nucleotide unclassified non-coding RNA is filed under the name uncultured Gammaproteobacteria bacterium. Its description in RNAcentral is "contains 16S-23S intergenic spacer region". It matches the Rfam family "Bacterial small subunit ribosomal RNA", at positions 524 to 776 of the family's 1533-position model. The record is from RNAcentral. Lineage: Bacteria; Pseudomonadati; Pseudomonadota; Gammaproteobacteria.